RNAcentral lists this ribosomal RNA (253 nucleotides) under uncultured bacterium. RNAcentral's name for it is "partial 16S ribosomal RNA". It matches the Rfam family "Bacterial small subunit ribosomal RNA", at positions 524 to 776 of the family's 1533-position model. The record is from RNAcentral.
UACGGAGGGUGCCAGCGUUAAUCGGAAUUACUGGGCGUAAAGAGCGCGUAGGCGGUAGAGCAAGUCGGAUGUGAAAGCCCUGGGCUUAACCUGGGAAUUGCAUUCGAGACUGCUCGGCUAGAGUUUGGUAGAGGAAAGCGGAAUUCCGGGUGUAGCGGUGAAAUGCGUAGAUAUCCGGAAGAACACCAGUGGCGAAGGCGGCUUUCUGGACCAAAACUGACGCUGAGGCGCGAAAGCGUGGGGAGCAAACAGG